AUUGAACGCUGGCGGCAUGCCUUACACAUGCAAGUCGAACGGCAGCACGGGUGCUUGCACCUGGUGGCGAGUGGCGAACGGGUGAGUAAUACAUCGGAACAUGUCCUGUAGUGGGGGAUAGCCCGGCGAAAGCCGGAUUAAUACCGCAUACGAUCUACGGAUGAAAGCGGGGGACCUUCGGGCCUCGCGCUAUAGGGUUGGCCGAUGGCUGAUUAGAUAGUUGGUGGGGUAAAGGCCUACCAAGGCGACGAUCAGUAGCUGGUCUGAGAGGACGACAAGCGACCUGGGAAGGGGAACAGCCCCCAUGGGACUGCGGGAGGCAGCAGAGGGGUAUGUGGGACAGUAGUGGAAAGCAUUGCCCAAUGGGCGGGAGUGUGAUAAAGAGGCGUCGGGUUUGGAAUGACGGUUUGCGGGGAAAAAAACGCUUGCGCCUAUUACGAAGGGGGAGUGACGGUAAUGAAUAAAGAAGCACCGGCUAACUACGUG
This 486-nucleotide ribosomal RNA is filed under the name uncultured bacterium. Its description in RNAcentral is "partial 16S ribosomal RNA". It matches the Rfam family "Bacterial small subunit ribosomal RNA", at positions 29 to 507 of the family's 1533-position model. The record is from RNAcentral.